CAGCAGCCACGGUAAUACGGAGGGUGCAAGCGUUAAUCGGAAUUACUGGGCGUAAAGCGCACGCAGGCGGUCUGUCAAGUCAGAUGUGAAAUCCCCGGGCUUAACCUGGGAACUGCAUUUGAAACUGGCAGGCUAGAGUCUUGUAGAGGGGGGUGGAAUUCCAGGUGUAGCGGUGAAAUGCGUAGAGAUCUGGAGGAAUACCGGUGGCGAAGGCGGCCCCCUGGACAAAGACUGACGCUCAGGUGCGAAAGCGUGGGGAGCAAACAGGAUUAGAUACCCGAGUAGUCCCUGUCUCUUAUAA
RNAcentral lists this ribosomal RNA (301 nucleotides) under uncultured bacterium. RNAcentral describes it as "partial 16S ribosomal RNA". It matches the Rfam family "Bacterial small subunit ribosomal RNA", at positions 509 to 809 of the family's 1533-position model. The record is from RNAcentral.